RNAcentral lists this ribosomal RNA (250 nucleotides) under uncultured bacterium. RNAcentral's name for it is "partial 16S ribosomal RNA". It matches the Rfam family "Bacterial small subunit ribosomal RNA", at positions 57 to 305 of the family's 1533-position model. The record is from RNAcentral.
GCAAGUCGCGCGGUAACAGAGAUAGCUUGCUAUCUGCUGACGAGCGGCGGACGGGUGAGUAAUGCUUGGGAAUAUGCCUUUGAGUGGGGGACAACAGUUGGAAACGACUGCUAAUACCGCAUAACGUCUACGGACCAAAGGGGGGGAUCUUCGGACCUCUCGCUCAUAGAUUAGCCCAAGUGAGAUUAGCUAGUGGGUAAGGGAAUGGAGUACCAAGGCGACGAGCUCUAGCGGGUUUGAGAGGAUGAUC